Molecule: ribosomal RNA, 587 nt
Filed under: uncultured archaeon
Lineage: Archaea
Description: bacterial SSU rRNA
Rfam family: Archaeal small subunit ribosomal RNA
Source: RNAcentral
ACGGGGUGCAGCAGGCGCGAAAUCUUCACAAUGGGCGAAAGCCUGAUGAGGGGACCCUGAGUGAUAUUGCACUGCAAUAUCUUUUAUCAAGUCUAUAUAGCUUGGUGAAUAAGCGGUGGGCAAGACGGUUGCCAGCCGCCACGGUAAUAACCGCGCCGCAAGUGGUAGCCAUGUUUAUUGGGCCUAAAGCAUUCGUAGCCGGUCUAAUAAGUCCUUAGUGAAAUCGGAUAGCAAACUAUUCGGCUAUCUAUGGAUACUGUUAGACUUGGGACCGGAAGAGGUCGAGGGUAUUUCAUGGGUAAGGGUGAAAUCUGUUGAUCCAUGAAGGACCACCUGUGGCGAAGGCGCUCGACUAGAACGGAUCCGACGGUGAGGGAUGAAAGCUAGGGGAGCGACCCGGAUUAGAUACCCGGUUAGUCCUAGCUGUAAACGAUGCCCACUUGGUGUGGCGAAACUUUCGUAGUUUUGCUGUGCCGUAGCGAAGAAAUCAUUUUCUAAAUAAUAGAUAUGAUUUUGCAAGUGUUAAGUGGGCCGCCUGGGGAGUACGGUCGCAAGGCUGAAACUUAAGGGAAUUGGCGGGGGAGCAC